GGUCAGGAUGAACGCUAGCGACAGGCCUAACACAUGCAAGUCGAGGGGCAGCACAAGGAGCAAUCUGAGGUGGCGACCGGCGCACGGGUGAGUAACACGUAUGCAACCUGCCUGUAAGCGGGGAAUAACCCGUUGAAAGACGGACUAAUACCGCAUAAUACUAAAUUACUGCAUGGUAAUUUAUUUAAACAUUUAUGGCUUACAGAUGGGCAUGCGCAUGAUUAGCUAGUUGGAGAGGUAACGGCUCCCCAAGGCAACGAUCAUUAGGGGUUCUGAGAGGAAGGUCCCCCACACUGGUACUGAGACACGGACCAGACUCCUACGGGAGGCAGCAGUGAGGAAUAUUGGUCAAUGGACGAGAGUCUGAACCAGCCAAGUCGCGUGCAGGAAGAAUGUCCCUAUGGAUUGUAAACUGCUUUUGCAGGGGAAUAAAGUGCAUCACGUGUGAUGUUUUGUAUGUACUCUGCGAAUAAGGAUCGGCUAACUCCGUGCCAGCCGCGGC
This 502-nucleotide ribosomal RNA is filed under the name uncultured bacterium. RNAcentral describes it as "bacterial SSU rRNA". It matches the Rfam family "Bacterial small subunit ribosomal RNA", at positions 22 to 518 of the family's 1533-position model. The record is from RNAcentral.